Molecule: ribosomal RNA, 643 nt
Filed under: uncultured Eubacteriales bacterium
Lineage: Bacteria; Bacillati; Bacillota; Clostridia; Eubacteriales
Description: bacterial SSU rRNA
Rfam family: Bacterial small subunit ribosomal RNA
Source: RNAcentral
GACGAACGCUGGCGGCGUGCCUAAUACAUGCAAGUCGAGCGAAUUUUUGGGAGCUUGCUCCCAAAAGUUAGCGGCGGACGGGUGAGUAACACGUGGGCAACCUGCCUAUAAGACUGGGAUAACUUCGGGAAACCGGAGCUAAUACCGGAUAAUUCAUAUCUACUCAUGUAGAUAUGCUGAAAGACGGUUUACGCUGUCACUUAUAGAUGGGCCCGCGGCGCAUUAGCUAGUUGGUGAGGUAACGGCUCACCAAGGCAACGAUGCGUAGCCGACCUGAGAGGGUGAUCGGCCACACUGGGACUGAGACACGGCCCAGACUCCUACGGGAGGCAGCAGUAGGGAAUCUUCCGCAAUGGACGAAAGUCUGACGGAGCAACGCCGCGUGAGUGAUGAAGGUUUUCGGAUCGUAAAACUCUGUUGUUAGGGAAGAACAAGUACGAGAGUAACUGCUCGUACCUUGACGGUACCUAACCAGAAAGCCACGGCUAACUACGUGCCAGCAGCCGCGGUAAUACGUAGGUGGCAAGCGUUGUCCGGAAUUAUUGGGCGUAAAGCGCGCGCAGGCGGUCCUUUAAGUCUGAUGUGAAAGCCCACGGCUCAACCGUGGAGGGUCAUUGGAAACUGGGGGACUUGAGUACAGAAG